CCUACGGGAGGCAGCAGUGGGGAAUAUUGCACAAUGGGGGAAACCCUGAUGCAGCGACGCCGCGUGAGUGAAGAAGUAUCUCGGUACGUAAAGCUCUUUCAGCAGGGAAGAAAAUGACGGUACCUGACUAAGAAGCCCCGUCUAACUACGUGCCAGCAGCCGCGGUAAUACGCAGGGGGCAAGCGUUAUCCGGAUGUACUGGGUGUAAAGGGAGAAUAGACGGCAGCACAAGUCUGGAGUGAAAUCCCGGGGGUUAACCCCGGAACUGCUGUGGAAACUGUGCGGCUGGAGUGCAGGAGGGGUAGGCGGAAUGCCUAGUGUAGCGGUGAAAUGCGUAGAGAUUAGGAGGAACACCGGUGGCGAAGGCGGCUUACUGGACUGUAACUGACGUUGAGGCACGAAAGCGUGGGGAGCAAACAGGAUUAGAUACCCUUGUAGUC
RNAcentral lists this ribosomal RNA (440 nucleotides) under uncultured bacterium. RNAcentral describes it as "partial 16S ribosomal RNA". It matches the Rfam family "Bacterial small subunit ribosomal RNA", at positions 338 to 795 of the family's 1533-position model. The record is from RNAcentral.